This is a long non-coding RNA of Ctenopharyngodon idella (grass carp), 3019 nucleotides long. RefSeq lists it as uncharacterized. The record is from RefSeq and is a predicted model, not a curated record. Lineage: Eukaryota; Metazoa; Chordata; Actinopteri; Cypriniformes; Xenocyprididae. The transcript is spliced from 4 exons.
CCUGCAAUAAACGAGUAUGAGAACGAAGAUCCCAGUGCACGUACAUAUACAUCUCUUGACCUCAGGUCCAGAUCAUCCGACUUGUACGAUACACUCACAACUGUCAAUCCCAGACCUGCCGUUCACCAGUCAAGCUCUUCUGAAUAUGAGAAUCAGUCACCACAGCAAGAUGCCACGGUAAGAUAAGGCACAAGCUAAACUUUAGCCAACUUUUUUGGAGUCGCUGGACACGCCCACAUCACAACUACCAAAGGAAAUGAAAUGCCUCUUCAGAGUUUCCAUUCAGCAGUGAAGCGAGGCUGUGCACAGACAUUUUGAGGGGCAGUGGCUCAAACCAGAAAAAAGGGGCACUAAGGGUAUAAUUAUAAUAACAAUAAUAAUAAUAAUAAUAUAAUAUUUUUAUUUUACAGAAAAGUUAUUUUAUGAAGACUACAGGGUUACCUCUUAACAUGCCUGGUAGCCUAUGACUAUAAAUCAUUAGAAAGGUAUAAGGAUUUAUUAUAAAAUAUAUUUUGUUGGUAUGCUAAAUCUAAAACAUCCAUGUCCAUGUCUUCAAUAUGAAAUAUGAGCCUAUUAUGCAACUACCAACUGUGGGGAAGAAAAAGAAAAAAAAAAAAAAAAAAAAAAACCCUCCUGUACACUUCUGUACACUGGAGAAAAACAUAUGGGUUAUCAUGUUUACUUCAAAUUUCUUUAGAUAGAAGUAUUAUUUUUCCUAUUUUUACACAAAGUAGGAUGGACUGAGCAUUAUUGAGCACUAUAAACAAGUUUUGUCUUCUUCAUACUGGAAACCAGAGGGCACCCUCAUGCAGAAACUCCAGAUACGCCUCACAGAAGUAAUAUAACAUUCCAGGAAAUCCCUAAUAUGGACAAAGGCAUCCAGCUAAUACAGCUACCGCUGUAGCUGAAUAAAAAGAUGAUAGAAACGCUUUGACUGAUUAAACAUGACAACAAUAAACACACAACUGCGACGAUAUUAAUUCAUCUGAGUUCUUCAAGCAUUCUUGGCUAUUCUCAUAUUAAUGAAGUAUAUUUAUAAUGCAAUGCUAAUCGACAUAGCCUUUAUCACUGAAUAGGAUACUAUAAAAUAAUACAUUGUCUACCUUAUGCUAUGAUAACAAACCACAUCAGCUCACAAAAGUAAGUUAUGUUUCAUCUUGCUUUUAUCCACUAUUAGUACAAGCCUGUUGUAGUGGACCGAAUGAUGGCCAAAACUUUACUGAUGAGUUUUAUGAAGUUUAUUGUACAUCACACAAAAGAUGAAGCGUGUGUUUCACUCCAAAAACUCACUAUAAGAGCUGAAUGCACACAGUGCAAUAAGUCUUGUCCAUAAACUCUCUCUCGCUUGUAUUAUCAUCAACAUACACAGUAAAUUACACAAAAACACUCAUUACAAUUAACAGUAAACAAAUAUACACAGACCUUAUUCCUUUUCGGGGAGUGCUUAAUAAACUUUAUAUCCAUAAAUCAUCUCUGAUGAACUGUAAUAAAGUGCAUGCUUUCCCCUUCAUUAUUGCUGUAACCAGUAUCGCUCUGGAGACUACAAGCUGGAUCACGAGUAGCUGAUACCGAUCCAUCCUUGAGUAACAACUUUUUAGCAAAACCUGUUUUGUAUUGUCCCUUUGUAUUGACAUUCAUUCACAAAGCAGUCUGGUGUAAAAUGAUUCGCGCAGACAUAAAUGGGCGGUUUGUACGUUAUUUGCGAACGGCUUGUUCUGAGACACUGCUUAUGAUUUAUGGGGAUUGAAAAAAGGAGUGGGUGGAUUUUUAUCAUUAUAGGGUGGUGGUGUACACACACUGCCAACACACAUUUAUGUUCAAACACCAUGUAAAAGUGAAAUAUAUACACACACACUAUAUUGCCAAAGGUUUUGGGAUGCCUGCCUUUACGUGCACAUGAACUUUAAUGACAUCCCAUUUUUAAUCCGUAGAGUUUAAUUUGGAGUUGGCCCACCCUUUGCAGCUAUAACAGCUUCAACUCUUCUGGGAAGGCUUUCCACAAGGUUUAGGAGUGAGUUUAUGGGAAUUUUGGACCAUUCUUCUAGAAGCGCAUUUGUGAGGUCAGGCAGUGAUGUUGACGAGAAGGCCUGGCUCGCAGUCUCCGCUCUAAUUCAUCCCAAAGGUGUUCUAUCGGGUUGAGGUCAGGAUUCUGUGCAGGCCAGUCAAGUUCCUCCACACCAAACUCACUCAUCCAUGUAUUUAUGGACCUUCCUUUGUGCACUGGUACACAGUCAUGUUGGAACAGGAAGGGACCAUCCCCAAACUGUUCCCACAAAGUUGGGAGCAUGAAAUUGUCCAAAAUGUCUUGGUAUGCUGAAGCAUUAAGAGUUCCUUUCACUGGAACUAAGGGGCCAAGCCCAACCCCUGGAAAACAACCCCACAAUCCCCCCUCCACCAAACUUUACACUUGCCACAAUGCAGUCAGGCAAGUACCGUUCUCCCGGCAACCGCCAAACCCAGACUCGUCCAUCGAAUUGCCAGACAGAGAAGCGUGAUUCGUCACUCCAGAAAACACGUCUCCACUGCUCUAGAGUCCAGUGGCAGUGUGCUUUACACCACUGCAUCCGACGAUUUGCAUUGCACUUGGUGAUGUAAGGCUUGGAUUCAGCUGCUCGGUCAUGGAAACCCAUUCCAUGAAGCUCUCUACGCACUGUUCUUGAGCUAAUCUGAAGGCCACACAAAGUUUGGAGGUCUGUAGCUAUUGACUCUGCAGAAAGUUGGCGACUUCUGCGCACCGUGUGCCUCAGCAUGCGCUGACAUCGCUCUGUGAUUUUACGUGGCCUAACACUUCGUGGCUGAGUUGCUGUUGUUCCCAAUUGCUUCCAGUUUGUUAUGAUACCACUAACAGUUGAUCGUGGAAUAUUUAGUAGUGAGGAAAUUUCACGAAUGGACUUAUUGCACAGGUGGCAACCUAUCACGGUGCCACGCUUGAAUUCACUGAGAUCCUGAGAGCGACCCAUUCUUUCACAAAUGUUUGUAGAAGCAGUCUGCAUGCCUAGUAGUCAACAUUUGAAGUGGA